Molecule: long non-coding RNA, 402 nt
Filed under: Gossypium raimondii (Peruvian cotton)
Lineage: Eukaryota; Viridiplantae; Streptophyta; Magnoliopsida; Malvales; Malvaceae
Description: long non-coding RNA (GRAI_LNC000853)
Source: RNAcentral
UUUUCGUCUGGUUUGAUUAGCUUCUUGAACUUUUGGAUUACUCCAUAAGAUGUUGCGAGCAGUUCGUUUUCGAAGCAGAGGUUGCUGCUCCGGUAACCACAUUUCGACGGUGGUCUUGGCGGUGGUUUUGGUGUUGGUGGUGGUGGUGGUGGUGGUGGUGGUGGUGGUGGUGGUGGUGGUGGUGGAGAUGCUGGAGGUGGACAUUCAGGUUCAGGUGGCGGAGGAGGACAAUCUUCAGGCGACGGAGCAGGAGCUUCACCGCCGCCGCCGCCGAUAAUGAUCUCUAACGUUUCCCUGUUAGUCCCAAUGAACGGAUACAGACCACCAUCAUCAUUGUCACUAACCACCUCGUGAGACCAACAAGAACCAAAAAUGGCGAUCAAAACUAAAAUCGAAAGAGAA